UACGUAGGUCCCAAGCGUUAUCCGGAUUUACUGGGUGUAAAGGGAGCGUAGACGGCUUUGCAAGCCAGAUGUGAAAGCCCGGGGCUCAACCCCGGGACUGCAUUUGGAACUGUAUGGCUGGAGUGUCGGAGAGGCAGGCGGAAUUCCUAGUGUAGCGGUGAAAUGCGUAGAUAUUAGGAGGAACACCAGUGGCGAAGGCGGCCUGCUGGACGAUGACUGACGUUGAGGCUCGAAAGCGUGGGGAGCAAACAGG
This 253-nucleotide ribosomal RNA is filed under the name uncultured bacterium. RNAcentral describes it as "partial 16S ribosomal RNA". It matches the Rfam family "Bacterial small subunit ribosomal RNA", at positions 524 to 776 of the family's 1533-position model. The record is from RNAcentral.